AGCGAACGCUGGCGGCAGGCUUAACACAUGCAAGUCGAACGCUCGUAGCAAUACGAGAGUGGCAGACGGGUGAGUAACACGUGGGAACGUACCUUUCGGUUCGGAAUAACCCGGGGAAACUCGGGCUAAUACCGGAUACGUCCGCAAGGAGAAAGAUUUAUCGCCGAAAGAUCGGCCCGCGUCGGAUUAGCUAGUUGGUGAGGUAAUGGCUCACCAAGGCAAUGAUCCGUAGCUGGUCUGAGAGGACGAUCAGCCACACUGGGACUGAGACACGGCCCAGACUCCUACGGGAGGCAGCAGUGGGGAAUAUUGGACAAUGGGCGAAAGCCUGAUCCAGCCAUGCCGCGUGAGUGAUGAAGGCCUUAGGGUUGUAAAGCUCUUUUACCAGGGAAGAUAAUGACUGUACCUGGAGAAUAAGCCCCGGCUAACUUCGUGCCAGCAGCCGCGGUAAUACGAAGGGGGCUAGCGUUGCUCGGAAUCACUGGGCGUAAAGCGCACGUAGGUGGGUCGCUUAGUCGGGGGUGAAAUCCUGGAGCUCAACUCCAGAACUGCCUUCGAUACUGGCGAUCUUCGAGUCCGGGAGAGGUGGGUGGAACUGCGAGUGUAGAGGUGAAAUUCGUAGAUAUUCGCAAGAACACCAGUGGCGAAGGCGGCUCACUGGGCCGGUACUGACACUGAGGUGCGAAAGCGUGGGGAGCAAAACAGAUUAGAUACCCUGGUAGUCCACGCCCGUAACGAUGGAUGCUAGCCGUUGGACAGCUUGCUGUUCAGUGGCGCAGCUAACGCAUUUAGCAUCCCGCCUGGGGAGUACGGGUGGCAGGAUUAAAACUCAAAGGAAUUGACGGGGGCCCGGCACAAGCGGUGGAGCAUGUGGUUCAAUUCGAGGCAACGCGAAGAACCUUACCAGCUUUUGACAUGUCCGGUUUGGGCUCCAGAGAGGGGGUCCUUCAGUUCGGCUGGCCGGAACACAGGUGCGGCAGGGCUGUCGUCAGCUCGUGUCGUGAGAUGUUGGGUUAAGUCCGGCAACGAGCGCAACCCUCGUCCCUAGUUGCCAUCAUUCAGUGGGGCACUCUAGGGAGACUGCCGGUGAUAAGCCGCGAGGAGGGUGGGGAUGACGUCAAGUCCUCAUGGCCCUUACAGGCUGGGCUACACACGUGCUACAAUGGCGGUGACAGUGGGAAGCGAACCCGCAAGGGGGAGCCAAUCUCAAAAAACCGUCUCAGUUCGGAUUGCACUCUGCAACUCGAGUGCAUGAAGUUGGAAUCGCUAGUAAUCGUGGAUCAGCAUGCCACGGUGAAUACGUUCCCGGGCCUUGUACACACCGCCCGUCACACCAUGGGAGUUGGUUUUACCUUAAGACGGUUUGCUAACCGCAAGGAGGCAGCCGGCCACGGUAAGGUCAGCGACUGGGGUGAAGUCGUAACAAGGUAACC
This 1433-nucleotide ribosomal RNA is filed under the name uncultured bacterium. RNAcentral's name for it is "bacterial SSU rRNA". It matches the Rfam family "Bacterial small subunit ribosomal RNA". The record is from RNAcentral.